CAUCUCUUUAUGAUUUAUGAUUUAAGGUUUAAUCUGCUCAAUGAAUAUUAAUUAAAUUGCCGCGGUAAUUUAACUGUGCAAAGGUAGCAUAAUAAAUUGUUUUUUUAUUGGAAACUUGAAUGAAUGAUUGGACAAAAAAUUUUCUGUCUUUAUAUAAUUAUUUUAAUUUAACUUGAAAGUGAAAAGGCUUUCAUUUGCUUAAGGGACGAGAAGACCCUAUAGAGUUUUAUUUAAUUUUUUUUUAUUAAGUUUUUAUUAUUCAUAUUUUUAUUUAAGAUUAAAUUUGACUGGGGUUGUUGAUUAAUUUGUUAAAAUUAUUUAUUUUUUUUAUCAUUGAUUUGUGAGUAUAUUAUAUUUGUUAUUGAAUUAUAUAAUAAAUUACCUUAGGGAUAACAGCGUUAUUUUUAUUUAAAGUUCCUAUUUAAAUAAGAGAUUUCGACCUCGAUGUUGGAUUAAAAUUUAUGUUUAAUGGAGAUAUUAAAUUAUUUAGUCUGUUCGACUAUUAAAAUUUUACAUGAUCUGAGU
RNAcentral lists this ribosomal RNA (525 nucleotides) under Phengodidae sp. UPOL 001243. RNAcentral describes it as "partial 16S ribosomal RNA". The record is from RNAcentral. Lineage: Eukaryota; Metazoa; Arthropoda; Insecta; Coleoptera; Phengodidae.